AACGAACGCUGGCGGCAGGCCUAACACAUGCAAGUCGAACGCUCCGCAAGGGGAGUGGCGCACGGGUGAGUAACGCGUGGGAAUCUACCUAUUAGUAAGGAAUAACAGUUGGAAACGACUGCUAAUACCUUAUACGCCCUACGGGGGAAAGAUUUAUCGCUAAUAGAUGAGCCCGCGUAAGAUUAGCUAGUUGGUGAGGUGAUGGCUCACCAAGGCUACGAUCUUUAGCUGGUCUGAGAGGAUGAUCAGCCACACUGGAACUGAGACACGGUCCAGACUCCUACGGGAGGCAGCAGUGGGGAAUAUUGGACAAUGGGCGAAAGCCUGAUCCAGCCAUGCCGCGUGAAUGAUGAAGGCCUUAGGGUUGUAAAGUUCUUUCGCCGCCGAGGAUAAUGUCGGUAAGCGGAUAAGAAGCCCCGGCUAACUUCGUGCCAGCCGCCGCAGUAA
RNAcentral lists this ribosomal RNA (447 nucleotides) under uncultured bacterium. RNAcentral describes it as "partial 16S ribosomal RNA". It matches the Rfam family "Bacterial small subunit ribosomal RNA", at positions 29 to 523 of the family's 1533-position model. The record is from RNAcentral.